Populus trichocarpa (black cottonwood) is the source of this 73-nucleotide non-coding RNA. The record is from Rfam. Lineage: Eukaryota; Viridiplantae; Streptophyta; Magnoliopsida; Malpighiales; Salicaceae.
GCGGUGAUAGCUCAGUUGGGAGAGCGUCAGGCUGAAUUUCUGUACGUCGCGUGUUCUGUCCACGCUCCCCGCA